RNAcentral lists this long non-coding RNA (721 nucleotides) under Mus pahari (shrew mouse). Its description in RNAcentral is "lncRNA (MGP_PahariEiJ_G0003495.1)". Lineage: Eukaryota; Metazoa; Chordata; Mammalia; Rodentia; Muridae. The record is from RNAcentral.
GCCUGGCUAUUGGGUAGCGUGUCAGAAUGCAGAGCAAAGCUCUCUUCUACUUCACUGAGAAAGAUCGCUGCCGUGGAGGCUUUCCAAUCCUCUGGGAGUUUCUCAGCCAGCACAGCUCGAGGCCUUCCUGGUCCCCAGACAGCCCUUCAAUGCCUCCCUGUCUUCUGUCUUUUGUCUUUCGCUCACAAAAGCCAAAGAGGGGAAGCAUCCAUUGUCUCUGCCUGCACGUCUGUGCAAGUGUACUUGUACUGGCUUGCUCAUUUUCAUCAACGGACUAAGAGGACAUGUAUAGAUGAGGGCUGUCCUGAUCAGAAGACAUGCCCACAGUCUCUGUCCUAUAAAGUGACUAUCCUGUCAAGGAAUUCUCCAUUUGUGGUGUCUUUUUCUGUUUUUCAAGGAACAGAAGAAGCAUGUUCUUGGAGGGACACUAAGAGAUGGCGCCACCCACUAAAGCAACUGUGGCCCUCAAAUCGGCCUGCAUUUACUACCUCUCUUCAGCAGGGAGAAUGAGAACAGAUUUUUAAGGUUUAACAAGUCCAUUUCACUGCUGCAGAAAAGCACAAUGCUGGUUGUUUGUUUGUUUGUCUUCCUUUCUUGAGAGAAAGUGUUUCCUCUUCUUUAAACAAACAUGCAUGCGUGGGGUCUGGUUCUGACUUGAAAUUUUAGUACAAUGAUCAAUAGACUGACUCCUAUAUAGGAAAAGAAGAAAAAAAAAAGAUAA